This is a small nucleolar RNA of Papaver somniferum (opium poppy), 132 nucleotides long. RefSeq annotates it as small nucleolar RNA U3. The record is from RefSeq and is a predicted model, not a curated record. The transcript has a single exon. Lineage: Eukaryota; Viridiplantae; Streptophyta; Magnoliopsida; Ranunculales; Papaveraceae.
UGAUGAACCAUGAGCGCACGACCAGAGCGUGAUUACUGGUGUACAUGCCUAUGAUAUGGGCCUUGUGGUGACUAUAGAUGAUCGUUUCUCAGCUUGACUUUGGCCUGCUGUGGUGGUCGUGCGGCGAUCUGA